GACGAACGCUGGCGGCGUGCUUAACACAUGCAAGUCGAACGGAAAGGCCCUGCUUUUGUGGGGUGCUCGAGUGGCGAACGGGUGAGUAACACGUGAGUAACCUGCCCUUGACUUUGGGAUAACUUCAGGAAACUGGGGCUAAUACCGGAUAGGAGCUCCUGCUGCAUGGUGGGGGUUGGAAAGUUUCGGCGGUUGGGGAUGGACUCGCGGCUUAUCAGCUUGUUGGUGGGGUAGUGGCUUACCAAGGCUUUGACGGGUAGCCGGCCUGAGAGGGUGACCGGCCACAUUGGGACUGAGAUACGGCCCAGACUCCUACGGGAGGCAGCAGUGGGGAAUAUUGCACAAUGGGCGGAAGCCUGAUGCAGCAACGCCGCGUGCGGGAUGACGGCCUUCGGGUUGUAAACCGCUUUCGCCUGUGACGAAGCGUGAGUGACGGUAAUGGGUAAAGAAGCACCGGCUAACUACGUGCCAGCAGCCGCCGUGAUACGUAGGGUGCGAGCGUUGUCCGGAUUUAUUGGGCGUAAAGGGCUCGUAGGUGGUUGAUCGCGUCGGAAAUGUCAUCUUGGGGCUUAACCCUGAGCGUGCUUCCGAUACGGGUUGACUUGAGGAAGGUAGGGGAGAAUGAAUUCCUGGUGGAGCGGUGGAAUGCGCAGAUAUCAGGAGGAACACCAGUGGCGAAGGCGGUUCUCUGGGCCUUUCCUGACGCUGAGGAGCGAAAGCGUGGGGAGCGAACAGGCUUAGAUACCCUGGUAGUCCACGCUGUAAACGGUGGGUACUAGGUGUGGGGUCCAUUCCACGGGUUCCGCGCCGUAGCUAACGCUUUAAGUACCCCGCCUGGGGAGUACGGCCGCAAGGCUAAAACUCAAAGGAAUUGACGGGGCCCCGCACAAGCGGCGGAGCAUGCGGAUUAAUUCGAUGCAACGCGUAGAACCUUACCUGGGUUUGACAUGGAUCGGGAGUGCUCAGAGAUGGGUGUGCCUCUUUUGGGGUCGGUUCACAGGUGGUGCAUGGCUGUCGUCAGCUCGUGUCGUGAGAUGUUGGGUUAAGUCCCGCAACGAGCGCAACCCUUGUUCACUGUUGCCAGCACGUUAUGGUGGGGACUCAGUGGAGACCGCCGGGGUCAACUCGGAGGAAGGUGGGGAUGACGUCAAGUCAUCAUGCCCCUUAUGUCCAGGGCUUCACGCAUGCUACAAUGGCUGGUACAGAGAGUGGCGAGCCUGUGAGGGUGAGCGAAUCUCGGAAAGCCGGUCUCAGUUCGGAUUGGGGUCUGCAACUCGACCUCAUGAAGUCGGAGUCGCUAGUAAUCGCAGAUCAGCAACGCUGCGGUGAAUACGUUCCCGGG
Molecule: ribosomal RNA, 1342 nt
Filed under: uncultured bacterium
Lineage: Bacteria
Description: 16S ribosomal RNA
Rfam family: Bacterial small subunit ribosomal RNA
Source: RNAcentral